Molecule: ribosomal RNA, 479 nt
Filed under: uncultured bacterium
Lineage: Bacteria
Description: partial 16S ribosomal RNA
Rfam family: Bacterial small subunit ribosomal RNA
Source: RNAcentral
GAUGAACGCUAGCGGGAGGCCUAACACAUGCAAGCCGAGCGGCAGAGAAUCAUCGGCAUCCUGAGAGCGGUGUACGGGUGCGGAACACGUGUGCAACCUGCCUUUAUUAGGGGGAUAGGCUUUCGAACGGAAGAUUAAUACCCCAUAAAAUACUUGAUGGCAUCAUUAGAUAUCGAAAGAUUUUGCGGCUAGAGAUGGGCACGCGCAAGAUUAGAUAGUUGGUGAGGUAACGGCUCACCAAGCCGAUGAUCUUUAGGGGGGCUGAGAGUGUGAUCCCCCACACUGGUACCAAGACACGGACCAGACUCCUACGGGAGGCAGCAGUGAGUAAUACUAGACGAUGAAUUAGCGCCUGAUCCAGCCAUCCCGCUUGAAGGACGACUGCCCUAUGGGUUGUAAACUUCUUUUGUACAAGGAUAAACCUACUCUCGUGAGAGUAGCUGAAGGUACUGUACGAAUAAGCACCGGCUAACUCCGUG